AGUGAACGCUGGCGGUAGGCCUAACACAUGCAAGUCGAACGGCAGCACAGUAAGAGCUUGCUCUUACGGGUGGCGAGUGGCGGACGGGUGAGGAAUACAUCGGAAUCUACUUUUUCGUGGGGGAUAACGUAGGGAAACUUACGCUAAUACCGCAUACGACCUACGGGUGAAAGCAGGGGAUCUUCGGACCUUGCGCGAUUGAAUGAGCCGAUGUCGGAUUAGCUAGUUGGCGGGGGAAAGGCCCACCAAGGCGACGAUCCGUAGCUGGUCUGAGAGGAUGAUCAGCCACACUGGAACUGAGACACGGUCCAGACUCCUACGGGAGGCAGCAGUGGGGAAUAUUGGACGAUGGGCGCAAGCCUGAUCCAGCCAUACCGCGUGGGUGAAGAAGGCCUUCGGGUUGUAAAGCCCUUUUGUUGGGAAAGAAAAGCAGCAGGUUAAUACCCCGCUGUUCUGACGGUACCCAAAGAAUAAGCACCGGCUAACUUCGUG
Molecule: ribosomal RNA, 492 nt
Filed under: uncultured bacterium
Lineage: Bacteria
Description: partial 16S ribosomal RNA
Rfam family: Bacterial small subunit ribosomal RNA
Source: RNAcentral